RNA transcript from Microtus oregoni (creeping vole), 6155 nucleotides. It is a transcript of the gene named cyclin T1, with no coding region annotated. The transcript has 10 exons. The record is from RefSeq and is a predicted model, not a curated record. NCBI's taxonomy places the organism in Eukaryota, Metazoa, Chordata, Mammalia, Rodentia, Cricetidae.
GUGUGUCGCCGCUUAGGUGACGCUGGGAAGUGCUUGCAGCCCCCGCCGCUGCCUUUUGGUUGAAGCACUAUGGAGGGAGAGAGGAAGAACAACAAACGGUGGUAUUUUACUCGAGAACAGCUGGAAAAUAGCCCGUCGCGUCGUUUCGGCGUGGACUCAGAUAAAGAACUAUCUUAUCGCCAGCAGGCGGCCAAUCUACUCCAGGACAUGGGACAACGUCUUAACGUCUCACAACUGACUAUCAACACUGCUAUAGUAUACAUGCACCGGUUCUAUAUGAUUCAAUCUUUUACACAGUUUCAUCGCUAUUCUAUGGCUCCAGCAGCCUUGUUUCUAGCAGCAAAAGUGGAAGAACAGCCAAAAAAACUGGAACAUGUCAUCAAGGUAGCACAUACUUGCCUCCAUCCACAGGAGUCACUUCCUGACACGAGGAGCGAGGCAUACCUACAACAAGUUCAAGAUCUGGUGAUUUUAGAGAGCAUAAUUUUGCAGACCCUCGGGUUUGAACUAACAAUUGAUCACCCACAUACACAUGUGGUAAAGUGCACCCAGCUUGUGCGGGCAAGCAAGGACUUAGCACAGACAUCUUACUUCAUGGCAACCAACAGCCUGCAUUUGACCACAUUUAGCCUGCAGUACACACCUCCUGUGGUGGCCUGUGUCUGCAUCCAUCUGGCUUGCAAGUGGUCCAACUGGGAGAUCCCAGUCUCAACUGACGGGAAGCACUGGUGGGAGUAUGUUGACGCCACUGUGACGUUGGAACUUUUAGAUGAAUUGACACAUGAAUUUCUGCAGAUUCUGGAGAAAACUCCAAGCAGGCUGAAACGCAUUAGAAAUUGGAGGGCAUACCAGGCUGCCAUGAAAACUAAACCAGAUGACCGAGGAGCAGAUGAAAACACAUCAGAGCAGACAAUCCUCAAUAUGAUUUCUCAGACCUCUUCAGACACAACUAUUGCAGGAUUAAUGAGCAUGUCAACUACUUCUACUACAAGUGCAGUGCCUUCCCUUCCUGUCUCUGAAGAGUCAUCAAGCAGUCUAACUAAUGUGGAUAUGUUGCAAGGCGAGCGAUGGCUGUCUUCCCAACCUCCUUUUAAACUAGAAUCUUCUCAGGGUCAUCGGACUAGUGAGAAUUUAGCACUUAUUGGAGUUGAUCAUUCCUUACAACAUGAUAGUUCGAAUGCAUUUGUUUCCCAGAAGCAGACGAGUAAGAGCGUGCCGUCAGCUAAAGUUUCACUUAAAGAGUACCGUGCAAAGCACGCUGAGGAGCUGGCUGCUCAGAAGAGGCAGCUGGAGAAUAUGGAGGCCAAUGUGAAGUCACAGUAUGCAUAUGCCGCUCAGAACCUCCUGUCCCACCAUGACAGCCAUUCUUCAGUCAUUCUGAAGAUGCCCAUUGAGGGCUCAGAAAAUCCUGAACGACCUUUUUUGGAAAAGGCUGACAAGUCAGCUCUGAAAAUGAGACUCCCGGUGGCCAGUGGAGAUAAAGCAUCCUCCUCAAAACCAGAGGAGAUGAAAAUGCGCAUUAAAGUCCACUCUGCAGCUGAGAAGCACAAUUCUGCAGAGGAUAGCAUCUCCAAGAGCCGGGAGCACAAAGAAAAGCACAAGCCUCAUCCGUCCAACCACCAUCACCAUCAUAAUCACCAUUCACACAAGCACUCUCACUUACAGCUGCCUGUCGGUACUAUGAACAAACGGCCAGGUGACCCAAAACACAGCAGCCAGUCCAGCACCUUAGCGCACAAACCGUAUAGUUUGUCUAGUACUUUGUCCUCUUCGAGCUCUACUCGUAAGAGGGGUCCCCUGGAAGAGACGGGGGCAGCAGUGUUUGAUCAUCCAGCCAAGAUUGCCAAGAGUACUAAAUCCUCUUCCUUGAAUUUCCCCUUCCCUCGUCUUCCUACAAUGACCCAGUUGCCUGGGCAUAGCUCAGACACAAGUGGCCUCCCCUUUUCACAGCCUAGCUGUAAAACUCGAGUUCCUCAUAUGAAACUGGAUAAAGGCCCUCCUGGGGCUAAUGGUCACAACACAACUCAGUCAAUAGAUUAUCAAGAUACUGUGAAUAUGCUCCACUCCCUGCUCAGUGCCCAGGGUGUUCAGCCCACUCAGCCCCCUGCAUUUGAAUUUGUUCAUUCUUAUGGUGAAUAUAUGAAUCCACGAGCUGGUGGAAUCUCCAGAUCUGGCAAUACAGACAAACCUCGACCACCACCCCUACCAUCAGAACCACCUCCACCACUUCCACCUCUUCCUAAAUGAAAAAAAAUGAGGCGAGAACUUAAAAAACAAAAACACUUUGUUUUUGGGGGAUUUUUGGUUUGUUUUUGUUUUGACUACUGAUACUGGACUACGAAAAUUACAUCCCUUAUGAAAUAUGUCACCAUUGGACUAAGGAAUAAAUUGAUAUUGAGACAGGUGGGAGGGUGGUGGAGGCCUCAGUUAUUACAUCUGCCUCAUACAUCUAUCUUAUAGUCUGUACUGGUAUCAGAGGUAAGAUUGUGUUGAAGCUGUGAAGGAUUAAGAACACUGUUCUUGGCCUCUCCUCAUCCUUAUGGGGUUGAUUGAAGUACUCUUCCCCUCUUGCUGGAACUGAAUCGUGGGGGUGAUCAAGCAGUUUGUUUAACAUAUCAGAAGAGGGAGUAUUUAAACGUCAGAUCUUUAAGAGACUUAAAAAUAAUUUAAAGAAAAUGGACGAUUGAGGAAGACGCUUAGAGAGCAAGGCCGGCUUCUGCCCUACAGAGUUGGGCCUUUUCAGGUUGGGCUUUGGGAAAGUUUGGGUCUCUGAGGGAAGAAGGGUGUGCUUGCAUGUCCUGUCUGUCGGAGACUAGACCAUGUGUGGUAAUCGGUUUGGGAGAAGCCAUGCAGUUAAUGAUACUAAAGACAAUGAAAUUGUGAUUUGGGAUUCUGAAGAAUUUGCAUUUUAAGAUACAUUAUGAAUGUAAUUCUUGCUUCUUUAUCUGUCAAACGGAAAACAACUGCACACUUGUGUUUGCAGCCUGUGUGACUUCAGAGCACUGGUGUGAUGAGUGAGAAAACCUAGCCAACAGACACAGUUGGGUUUCAAUUGUUUCUUUCAGUGGUUUUUGAUUCUAGACAGAGUCCUGUUUUUAAAAAGUGGAUCAGGAAUCCUGUUAUGGGGCUUAUUUUUGAUGAAGGAGAUCUUUGAAGAGAUAAUGGCUAGAAAAAAAUUCUAAGUCAAGCUCUCUAACUGAAAAUGCUACCAAGCUGCAGAUCAUUGCUAUUCUUUGGUUCACUGCAUGAAAAAAAAUAUGUAUGCACACGCAUGUAAAUGUGUGUGUAGUUUUUUUUUUUUUUGCUAUGGAAAAGAUGGUGCUAUGAAAAUAAUUUGUCUUUUUUUUUUCUUUUUUAAUUAGUGAAGCUUCUGUCAUGCCAAGUAGUCUUUAUGGAGAGUUCAGAUUCUUUUUGCUGAAAGUCAUAGGGAAACAGAAGUUGUACGGGUGCUGCUUGCCAAGAACAGCCUAGGAAAACACUGCGGCAGUUACUAUUGAGGUAAUGGCCCAGUAGAGAAGAAUGUACAGGAGGAAUAUAUCUUAGGGUGACUUCGUGGUUUAUAAUCUGCAUGUUUGAACAGUCCUGGAGUGCCUGCCAGUGCUGUGCAAAACAAGGAACUCCUAGCUAAUCUGUAAGCCAGUGAUAUUUCUUGGUAUGCAACUUUUAAAGUGACAUUUUCUUUCUUGGUAUUUCCUGUGUUGUGCAAGAAAUAUGUGUCAUCAUGAUUACUAAGUUUAGGUUUGGUAUUCGUUUAGAUUUUGUUUUCCAUCCUGACCUUCCCAAAAGGGAAUGUGCCAUUUUAGAGUACAUCUGUAUUUAUGGGAUUGACCAUAAUUGACUUGGGAAAAUGUUCUUUUAAUUACUCUCACUAAUGUCACGUGUUUCUAAUCACAUGCACUCCCUUACCACAAAGGCUGUUGUAUUUGCUGUUACAGCAGUUCUUCAUGCCAGUGCUGUAGUUAAUUUCUUAGAACUGUCAGUAGUGAGCUAGAAAGUGCUUACUAGAGUCUAAAAGAGUGACCAUGUUGUAGUCUGGUCCUACUGUAGAUCAGCACUGAAUUUGGUUAGUUUAUGGACUUUUCCUAUAUUAGUUUCUCCUGGUAUUGUCUACAGAUAUCUACAGUAUCUGCUUUUAGAUCUGUGCAUAGGUCCUGAACCUCCUCAUGGGCUCUGCAUGAACUGCUGCAUUAUUUUUGGGUUAGCAGAUAUACCUUCUAGCUAGCAUGCAUAUUGUCCUGUUUCUGUAUAAAUAAGGCUUCUAAACUGUGUGUGUCUCUCCCACCUUCAGACCUUCAAAGGUCGAGAAGUAGUAUUUGUAUAUCUAAAGUCAGCCUUGUAAACAUGGCUUUUUUCUUUUGAUCUAAACUGUCAAGAAGAAGUGACAGUGGUAAGCAGGCUUGGAGCCUCAACUUCUGUAAAUCUCAUUCCUAAAAUUUUGCUUGACUCUUACGUUGGCAUAAAUAAAUACCUGUGGAUUGUUGUUAGGGCUUUUUAAAUCAUACCUGUGUUGUUGGCUAAACUCUGAAUCAUUAACCUAAAGCCAGUGUGGUGUUCUGAAGUAUUCAGUUAAGCCUUUUGGGUUUAGAAAAUACCUAAAUAGUAGCCUACUUUUCUCAUUCAUGAAUCAUUGUGGUUUUUGUAUCUGACACUCUCAGUAUCCUUUCCUUGUAAAUGAUUUUAGUGUUUUGGUUUAGUGUAUCCCACAUAUUUCUAUAUUGUUAGUUUCACCGGCAGUGAUAGAAAAAUCGAAAUCUCCAAUUGCAAACAGCAGUAGAUUUGAGUAUUGAAACAAAAUCAUGGUAACAUCACUGCUGGGUUUCCUGAAGCCUUUGCAACCUAAUUCCUCAUUACCUCUCACACCUUGCUUCUAGAAAAAGGCAAUUGGAGGGGUCCUAUCUAUCCUAGUAUGGUUGGAAUCUAAAUAUAUGCGUUUCCAUUAUUUUGGGAACUGAUUAUUUUUUUAAAGAUGUUUUUUCUUUUGUUGAUGAGUUAUUUUGAUACUCAUGCUAGGAAAUGAGAAACUAAGACAUCUUGAUUGGAAUGCCUAUAUUAUUCUCCUGGGUUUGGGAGAAUUUUAAGCAGUCUAUGCAACCCAUCAGUUAGUGAGAAAUAGCUUUCCAGCAUCCCCCACUGAGCUUUCAACGAUUCAUACCUCCCCAAAUGUCUUGAUGUUGACUGAAUUUUGGAUCUUGAUGGUUUAGAAAGCAUUCUUGUUACACCAAGCUGUUGUUUAUUUCUUAUUCCUCAGUGGAUGGAAGUUUGAAAGAAGAAUGGUACUGUAAUUUUACUUGAUGGAGUGGUCUAAAUUCAGAGUUGUUUUCUAAGUGGGUGAGCUCUCCAUGUUAAUAUUUUUAAAGUUUUUAAUAUGAACUUGGCAAUGGAAAAAAGAGGGAAAAGAAUGUUUAAUAAAAAUCAGUGUCUGCUCUUUCCCUUUUUGAGUGCGUAUUGCUGCUUGUAUGAAGAAACUCAUAGGUUUUGUGUUGCCGUUCUAACUGUGGAGAGGGAUGCUUGACAGCAUGUUAAUUGAAGCCAGAGCAAGUAUGUCUCCCAUCAGGUGGUCUGGAAAUGCCAGUGGAAGCAGAGGAGCUGAAGACCAUAAUGAAACACUUAGAAAGUAGAAGUGCUUUCUGGCCUAAGAACUCGAAACUGUAAGGUGUAACUUAGGGUUCUAAACUUGAAACUGAUAUAUAUUACCUUACUUUCCACACAUUUUCUAUCAAAAACUGUCCAUUUUCUUAUCAGACCAAAGAACAAAAAAAAAAAAAGAAAAGAAAAAAUGAAAAGCAAAGUAACAUUUUACCAGUUUAUGUCACUCAGGUACAAUUUUGUGGUGAGCUUUUUUUGUUGUUUUGUUUUUUGUCUUAUUUUGUACUGCUCAGCAUAUUAUUCUGCUGUUGCCUCUGUCCUCCGUGGGGCACCUCAGUUUUGGGUGCUACUCCUGGGAUCUCUACUGCUGUUAGGUGAAUGAUGAUAGGAUGUAAGUGACCAUUAUCAUAAGGGCUCUUUGUAAAAAACUUUAAAAACUCAAAAAAAAAUUUAAAGAAGGAUAUUGUAUACACAUUUUAUAGUCUGGCUAUCAGUUUGAUAUCUUGCUGUCAAGUAUGUUUCUCAAUCUGUAUUUAUCCAUCCCAUCAAUAAACGUUAAUGAUGAAACA